RNAcentral lists this long non-coding RNA (205 nucleotides) under Lathyrus oleraceus (garden pea). RNAcentral describes it as "Pisum sativum (pea) long non-coding RNA (PSAT_LNC017878)". Lineage: Eukaryota; Viridiplantae; Streptophyta; Magnoliopsida; Fabales; Fabaceae. The record is from RNAcentral.
GCUUCCAUUGUUAACCAGUAGUAACCUGCCCUUAGGAUCUUCUUCGCCAUUGCAUGCCCAUUUGCGUGUGUGCCGAAAGACCCUUCGUGUAUGUCCUUCAUAAGCUGAUUAGCCUCAUGUUUUUCCACACACCUCAACAAAACCAUGUCAUAAUCCUGCUUGUAUAAUACCUCCCCAUUUAAAAGGAACUUCGAUGCCAACCUCC